RNAcentral lists this long non-coding RNA (306 nucleotides) under Struthio camelus australis. Its description in RNAcentral is "lncRNA (ENSSCUG00000003613.1)". Lineage: Eukaryota; Metazoa; Chordata; Aves; Struthioniformes; Struthionidae. The record is from RNAcentral.
CUCAGUAUCCAGAAGUGGAUGCCUGAAGAAGGAUAUGAAAGCAGAUUCAGUAAGGAUUAAUGAUUAUGUCUUUUAUUUUCAGAUAUGAACUGGAUGCACAGUGAUGUAUCCAAUGCGGGAAGUAUAAUAAUGACAGCUCUGGGAACUGAGGCAGUGGCUGACAGUGAUUUAAAGGGGCCUGUUGAGAUUUCUGAUGCACUAUUUCAGCACACCAUUAUGAAGCUCCCAUUUGCUGAAUCAGAACUGCUUUUGUACAUCAGCCGUGCACAUGAACGAGCAAAGCAAGCAGGUAUGUACCGCUUGUAA